This 302-nucleotide unclassified non-coding RNA is filed under the name Hevea brasiliensis (rubber tree). The record is from RNAcentral. Lineage: Eukaryota; Viridiplantae; Streptophyta; Magnoliopsida; Malpighiales; Euphorbiaceae.
AAACUUACAUAUCCAUGGAAGAUAAGGAAGUUGUAAUAUUAGAUUCCUGAUAUACUAGGAUAUUUUUAUAUUUUCGUCAACUUUUUAAAGCAAAUGGUUGAUGAGAGAUAUCUUAGUGUAGCUUCCAUGAUUUUACCCCCUGUUGAGAUUCUACUUUUGCUUGAUAUAUCUUCAAUACCUACAGUUCAAAGUAGAACUUGUCUACAAAUCAAAGGUAGACUGAUAUUUCAAGCUUAAGGGGCAGGAGAUUAGGAUGUAACUAAUGUUUAUUAGGAUCUUAUUUCAUGUAUGAAUGAGAUGAG